AUGUUUUGUUCUUCUCCUUCUCCGAUUUUCCCAAUCUCCCCGCCUUAUGAUUCAACCCCCCUUUAUGUUAAUCCACCAUUGAAGUUCCUUCCCUCGAUUCUUCCUUACAUCGUCUCCUCAAAUCCAAACAAAACUAAGAAAAAGCUAGGAAGUUCGUGGAGAAAUGAGGGAGAUUUAGGCUUACUGACCGGAGGUUUUUAG
Vicia faba (fava bean) is the source of this 201-nucleotide non-coding RNA. NCBI's taxonomy places the organism in Eukaryota, Viridiplantae, Streptophyta, Magnoliopsida, Fabales, Fabaceae. The record is from the annotation of a GenBank genome assembly.